GGGAGCCUAGUUUAAAAAAACGUUUGCCUGUCAAGCAGAAGAUCCUAGAAUUGGGGGUUCCUU
This 63-nucleotide transfer RNA is filed under the name Vasticardium flavum. Its description in RNAcentral is "tRNA-Asp". It matches the Rfam family "tRNA". Rfam says of the family: Transfer RNA (tRNA) molecules are approximately 80 nucleotides in length. Their secondary structure includes four short double-helical elements and three loops (D, anti-codon, and T loops). The record is from RNAcentral. Lineage: Eukaryota; Metazoa; Mollusca; Bivalvia; Cardiida; Cardiidae.